This 62-nucleotide non-coding RNA is filed under the name Paraburkholderia sp. Its description in RNAcentral is "Fluoride sequence". It matches the Rfam family "Fluoride riboswitch aptamer (crcB RNA motif)". The record is from RNAcentral. Lineage: Bacteria; Pseudomonadati; Pseudomonadota; Betaproteobacteria; Burkholderiales; Burkholderiaceae.
UUGCGCACCGGAGAUGGCAUUCUCCUUUAACCGCCCUUGUGGCUGAUGAUGCCUGCUUCGUC